UGAGCUCGCCAUUUCUGCACACGCACACCCGUUUUCUGCUCGGCACGGCUGUUUUUUUUUUUUAUGUGGGUGUGUGCGUUCUCGUUGCGUUCUCAUUUGUUUGCUCUUGUGGUGUCCGUCAUUCUACAGGCGCGUUGUCCCUGCCAGCGCAAGCAGCACAGAAUACAAAAAAGUCUGCGAACGAACGCGGGAAAGGAUAGAAGAAGAGAAAGAAACAACACGAAGAAAGACGACGAGAGACUUGCGGUGCGCUGCUCUACCGACGAUACGGCCCCUUGUCGGUUUGGCUUGUGGAUGUGGGUGUAAGUGUGGGGUGGUGUUGUUUGUUUGGCGUUGUGGCACUCUUUUCGCCCUUCCCCCGUCCCCCCUUCCCCCCUUUUUUUUGCUCGCAGCUGUUACGCAUUUUCACACACGCACACGCAAGCCUCUGAUCGCGUGCGGAGAGGGAGCCGCACAUUGGCUCGCUCUCUGUGUCUUUUAUUUUUCUGUGCGUUUUUGUUUAUGUGCGACGCGCACUGGUUCUAUGACUCAGAGUUUUUGCUGCACCACACCGCUAGCCCCCCCCUCUCCCUUCCAGUUCUUCGCCGCACAGAAGCUUAGAUGAGUUGGCACGAUACCCAGGUGGCCUUAAAAUAUCUCUCCCGUUUGUUUCGUUGUUUUUCCUCGUCAUUUGCUUUUGCGGUUUCGGAGACGUGACGCCGCGAUAGAAACCCCAGGCGUGGAGACAUACUUUGCUUCGUUGUUGUUGACCACUGAGGAGUGGGCCUCUGUUCUCUCUUCGCCCUGAGCCCUCCUCCAAUCUUUCAUUUUCUGUCUUGUUUGCGUUUUUUUCUCUGUUGUGGUUUUCUCGUCGUCACCUUGGUUAUGUUGUUCUUGUGGGAGCACAUGGACAUCAACAGUUGCAGGUAAAGGCUGCCUGCUGUUUUUUGUUUGUGUGUGUGCGUGUCCUCCUCUUCGUUGCCGCCUCCGUUUGGGUGAUCGUGUUGCCUUCUCUUCUCCGUGAGUGCGCUCUGCUUCCUCUUCGCAAGUUAGUUUUUCGUUUGUUUUACCUCCUGUUCUUCGACUGCACGGCUUUACGUUGUCGUAUGUGCUGCUGAGUAGAACGCUUUUGUUUUGCUCGCCGAUUGGUCGUUGUUGCUGUCCACUCGCCUUGUUCUUCGGACUUCCGCUGGCUGGGUACUCUCGUCUCCCCCCUCCCUUCGCUUCUCUUCCCCCGUCCUCCGCAGGUCUCUCUCCCCUUUUGCCUCUCUGUGUUGUCCCCCACUCUUUUUUUUUGCCGGGUCUCCUUUUGCGUCUUUGAUUCAGUGGACGUGUGUGCGUGUCAUCUCUCCGUCUGUCUAUCUGUGCGUGUGCGUGCGUGUCGUUGUGUAUUCCGGCAUUUGCGGACGCACUUUUUUUUUCUUCGCUUUCUCUUCUCGGUGGAGUGGUGCUUUAAGGGUACCUCCGCCCUUCAAGCUCUUUCAAGCGUUCUCUGUCUCUCUCUCUGUAUAUACAUAGUUGCUUGCCUUGUUUGUGAACUCACCUUUUGUUGCUUGGGUGCUUUCUUCUCUGGUUUCUCCUCCGUGUAUCGCUCGCGCUUGGUGAUUUGUUGUGGGCGGGUGGCGUGUGUGUGUGUUUUUUUUCUUGCUCGGCUCAUCGUUUCGGGACAUUUUCCGCCACUUGCGUGCGUGUCCGUCAAGGCGCCCCCAUCUCUCGGUGUGCUCAAGCAGGCAGUGCUUUCGAAACGCCUGCAUAGACGGACAUCUCUUGCUCGACAGGAACGAACACAACAAAGAAAGAGAACGCAAUCUUUUUUUUUUCUGUUCCGACUGCGCACUUGUGAACCUGCAGCGCUCGACCCGCUUGAGAUCGAGGAAGUGUGCACCGCCGGCGUCAAGCCAGACAGCACCAGAAAGCACGGAAAGCGUGUUUCGAGCGGGCGUCGCUCUUUGACACUUUCGACACCCGCGGAGCAUCGACGCUCACGAGAGGCAGAGAUGAGCGGCAUCACGGUGCAACUUGUGUUUGCCUUCGUCGGCACGCGCGUGCCCUACUUUAUGCUGGAGUCGGCAACCGCUGCCAGCUCGCCCGCGCGUUCACCAUUUGGCAACGCGUCCUUGGUGUCGUUUAACGCGGCAGCGCAACCGACGCUGCGUGCGGACUCUGCUCGGACGUCUCCGCACCUGACUCCCUGCAUUCCGACCAACCUGUUCACGGCGCAGGGGCUCCUGUCCCAUCUCGCAAAGGCGCUGGAGCCGUCCCUGCACGCCGCCGCGGCCCCUGAGGCUGCCACUACCGAGUCUGCCUCGCUAUCGCCGACGGUUCCACUGCCUUUUCACAAGCCUCCCGUAUUCGAGCUCUUUGACUACGCUAGCCUCGACCCGCUCGAGGGCUCAGCGGCGCUGCAUGAUGAGCAAGUCCUGCUGGUGCUGUGCGACAUCGCCACCACGGCACAACUCGUGGAGGCACUACAGCUCGAGUGGUUGGAGGUCUACAGCGGCGCCCACCAUCCGCACCACCGCAGCUGCUCCGCAUCCACGCUUGAACCGGCACAUACGACAGACAUGGCAGUUUGCACGACAGAAGAGAAGCUGCGAAACGUGGCGCAUGCACAGCAGGCACUCUGCAAGCCCGUUGGGCUUCACCUCUCUCUCUUAAGUAAGGAGUUGCUGUCACGGGAAGCGACGUUGACUGCGCAGAAGGAGCAGCUCGCACAGAUGCGAUCCUGCGCAGCAGCGGGCACCGCUCCUGCUGCUGCCCCUGCAACAGCGAUCGGGGGCGACGGUGUCUCAACGCCCAUGUUGUGUGGUCGAGCCGCUUCGUUUCCGCUAUUGGUGGAGCUGGAGCCCAGUUUGGCCUCAGAACCAGCUCUGAGUGCCACUGAUGCCACGCAUCUUCAGAAGUUGGAGGCACCGCUGGCGCUCUGCGAAGCACGGGUGCGAGCUGUCGAAUCCCUCAUGCAGCGCGCCGCAAAGCACCACGCCAAGCUGCUGGAGCUCGCCGCGAGUGAACGUGCAACAGAAGAAGCAUUCCAGAGCGGCAAUGUCAGUCGCGCCUGCGCGGAAUACCUCGAGCGCACCGAGCAGGACCGCAGCGCCGCAGAGGCCAUUAUUGCGGAUUAUCAGGUUGAGAUGACUCGCCAGGUGAAGGUCGUGCGGCAGCUGGUCGCCUACAUCACCCAGGUGCGGAGACUGGUGAGCAAGGCCAAAUAUGAAAUGGGCGUAGUGGAGCUGAUCCUUUCACGGCUGUCGUUGACGAGCCUGCGACCACGGCUAAUGGAGGAGGCGGAGGCGCUGCUGCGCCGCCGCGUCAUCCUGCGACGUGCCGCCCGUCGCCAAAUGCUCCUGUUGCAGGAGACAGAGUUCGUCGAGUUGCAGCAAGACCUUGAGUCCUUCUCGCAGCGGAUGGAGGUGCAGAAAGUGCUACCUGAGAAGGUGCGCUGGUAUCUGCGGGCACCGUUGCCCAGCCUUAUGCCCGAAGAAGACCCGGUCGCCACGCUGCUCGACCAUGCUCUUAUUGACCGCGAGGAGGAUGAGGCGCAAGAGCUGGUGGAAAAGACUCGCGUGCACAUGACGGAUUCUUUGGACCCGGCAAAAAAUGCCCUGCAGAUCACGGAAGCGCUGCUGCCGGUGGAGCGGCUCGCGCGGCGUUUGGAGGAGGCUCGUGCAAGCGCUGCGCAGUACAAGAGUCGCGUGGAGGAGCUGGAGGAGAGGCUGAAAAUGUACGAGACUGCCGAGGCGCUCUCGCCACCACCGCUGCAGGACAGUGUGGUCAAGUCACUGUCUACGGAAAGACCGGCUGAAGGAGGGGGGUCGUUCGAGGAAGGAUAGAACGUCGUUGGCCACAAAUCGAGUCCCUGGAGGACUCUUCUUACAUCGUCUUUUCUCGGCCUCCCUCCCUUGGGUGCUGAUCGAGCGCUUGGCGUGGUGGUGCAGCAACACUUUUCUAUACACAAACAUGCGUGCUUAUGCACGAUGUACCGCCAUGAAAAGAGCUUGGCAUCUUAGUGUCUCUUGCCAUGUUUCGUUCCUUGUAUUCCGUUUUCGCAUCAAAACGCACAAGCCGGACGACAGCAGUUAGAUGGGAUGGUUGUACAGGGAUGUCUUCGAGUGUGGCAGUGCGAGCAGAGGAGAGGAAAGGGGGAGGGUGUGGUGGACAGGGGGGAGGGGGCUUUUCCUUUCGCUCGCUUACCAGCUUUCUGUUUCUCGUUGUUGGGCCAUCCACGUGACUCGGCACUCCAUUCGGGUUCGUAGGCGCUGAUGAUCACCACCGUCACCGCCCCUCUCACGCACUAGCAACGCCGUGCUGUCGUCUCUCUCUCUCUGGGUUGUUGCGAUCUGCACCCUUGUCUCUUCCUCUCCUUUCUCCCCCUCUCAAAAAUCGUGUGAUUUGCUUGUUUUCUUUUCCAGCAUGGUGCAGUUGUCUUUCAUCACCUCUGUUGUGUGUGUGUGUGUGUGUGUUCUGCUACACUCUUGUUCUUACUCCCUCUCUAUUAUUAGUGUUGCGCCUGUGAUGCGAGAGACGCUCACUCUCGGCCUCUCCACCUUCUUCCUCUGCAAACUUCGCUCACCCUUUUUCAUUUGCUUUCGGACUGCCUCUUUUUUUUCUCUUGCCCUCCGGCAUAAGAGCACUCGCUGGUGAGGGCUCGGUUGAGCACCGUGUUGUGCACACGGGUGGCCUCUUUCGUGUGCCGCACCGAACGCCUGAUCUCUCUCUCGCCUGGCACAAAACAUGAAGAAUGGGUGGCGUGAAUGCGCGCCUGUUGGGGAGGAGCGGAAGGGAGCAGCAUACAUUUUGAAGCGUAGGGCGUAGGGGUGCUAUAGGGUGACGUCGCGCUGUCCAUGCGUGUACUCGAGUGGUGGUGAGCGAAUGUGUUUUGCGGCUGUGCGUGCGCGCGGGAUCUCCGGGGGAUCUGUGACUCAGCCUUCCGUGAUCCACCUGCUUUACUUCACCUCCUCGGCGACUGCGAGUUCCCUCCGCACCCAGCCGAUCUCUGCCACACUUCCUGCCCUCUUUGUGUGCGGUUCCCUUAGCUUCUGUGAAGCGGCUCUUUUUUUUUCGUCCCUCAUCGGGGCUUUUUCUUUUCGUUUUGUCGCCGCUUCCAAAGACGCGCUGAGCCCCGGCGCCUUUGUUCGACUGCUCGCUUCACAGGCAGUCCGCCUCGCCCUCCCAUCCCUUGUCGCUUCUCCCUCUUCAUUACCUUUUAGACGAACCCGGAAUCUUCCGCAGAACGAGCAGAAGCAGGCACGCACGCACAC
This 5237-nucleotide unclassified non-coding RNA is filed under the name Leishmania donovani. RNAcentral's name for it is "gene:LdHU3.36.6800(CDS-product:hypothetical_prote in_conserved)". The record is from RNAcentral. Lineage: Eukaryota; Euglenozoa; Kinetoplastea; Trypanosomatida; Trypanosomatidae.